Molecule: long non-coding RNA, 1072 nt
Filed under: Oryctolagus cuniculus (rabbit)
Lineage: Eukaryota; Metazoa; Chordata; Mammalia; Lagomorpha; Leporidae
Description: lncRNA (ENSOCUG00000032532.1)
Source: RNAcentral
GAAGACCUUUCUCUCUGUCUCUCUCACUGUCUAACUCUGCCUGUCAAAUGAAAAAAAAAUAUGGGAGAAUAUAGGCAACACAAUAUGGUGAACAAACCAGUGGAUUAGAAAGAUGAAUAUGAAUGCAUCAUGAUUUGCAGAAAAUGACUGUAGUACCAGUAUGAUUUAAAAGCAUGUUGAAAAUGCAAAAAAUCAAACUGCAGACAGAAUCAUAUAGUCACUAAAAUGUUUGGCAAUUCCGCAGAUAUGACCAAUGACAUGAACACUGGCCACACGCAAAAAUAUAACUCAAGGAAAAAGAUUGACUUCAAUCGUAAUGAAGUCUAGGACUAAAUGUGUAUGAUGUUUCUAGAAACUUACAAGCUUCAGUUUAGAAUUAUUAGAUAAUAUCCAAAUAAACCAACAAGGUAAACACUCACGGGCUUGAGGAUAAAGUAUCAUGACAUUUGCUCUCACUGUGAAUGUUUUGAUGUGAUAAAACUGGGUCAGACGUGUGUUAUGGAAAAACGUUAAGAGAUUACUCUAAAAUGCUGAAGACAAAAAUGAAAAUGUCAAAAUAAUUACCUAUUUGUAAAAUCAUUCUUUCUGAUAUUAAAGUAUUUUACAACUGAGUAUAAAGUAAGACCUUUUUUGUAUUUGCUUAUGACGAGAGUAAUAACACCCAAGCAGCUGAAUAGCAAGUAGAUGCAGACUCUGACAUGGCACGGAUCUACUGAAGACUACUGGAAAUAAUAAACAUUAUCUUUCCAUGUACAAAAAUGAAUUAUUUAAUAAUUAAAUAUCUAGAUAUUAAAGGGACAAUUUUAAAAUCUCAGGAAGGAAAUACCAGGGAAUGUUUUUGCCAUCUCUUGGCAAAGAAGAAUUAGAAGUCAGAAAAAUAAGAACUUUUGUAAAAAAAAAAAAAAAAAAAAAAAAGAAAUUAUCAAUUCCCAACUUGACUCUCACUGGGAUUAAACAUGACAAUAGGUCUGAUCUGAUUUCAUCAUCAUUUAAAAAAAAAUCAUCUAUUAUUUUUCACUUUAUGUUUCUGUGUGGGAACAAACUGUUGAAAUCCUUACUUAAGGUAUACUAA